AGACAAAUUUAACCAAACUGGUCCACAAUCAUCAUUAGGGUAUGUAGUUUAAAAAAUGUGUCCGAUGACCCUGCAUGCGAACCAAGAUGGCCGACAUGGCUAAAAAAGUACAUAGGGUUAAAUACAGUUUUUGGCUAAAAUCUCAGAAACCAAAGCAUUUAAAGCAAAUCUGACGAAAUAAAUUUGUUCGUUAGGUCAAAGUCUAUCUGCCCU
Molecule: long non-coding RNA, 213 nt
Filed under: Mytilus galloprovincialis (Mediterranean mussel)
Lineage: Eukaryota; Metazoa; Mollusca; Bivalvia; Mytilida; Mytilidae
Source: RNAcentral